CACCGCGGUUAUACGAGAGGCCCAAGUUGACAAGCAUCGGCGUAAAGAGUGGUUAAUAUAUAACAAACUAAGACCGAACAUCUUCAAAGCUGUCAUACGCAUUCGAAGGCAGGAAGGCCCCCUACGAAAGUGGUCUUAAUAAAUAUGACCCCACGAAAGCUAGGGCA
This 167-nucleotide ribosomal RNA is filed under the name Parioglossus formosus (beautiful hover goby). Its description in RNAcentral is "partial 12S rRNA". The record is from RNAcentral. Lineage: Eukaryota; Metazoa; Chordata; Actinopteri; Gobiiformes; Gobiidae.